CGAAGGGUGCGAGCGUUAAUCGGAAUUACUGGGCGUAAAGCGCGCGUAGGUGGUUCGUUAAGUUAGGAGUGAAAGCCCCGGGCUCAACCUGGGAAUUGCUUCUAAAACUGGCGAGCUAGAGUAUGGUAGAGGGUGGUGGAAUUUCCUGUGUAGCGGUGAAAUGCGUAGAUAUAGGAAGGAACAUCAGUGGCGAAGGCGACCACCUGGACUGAUACUGACACUGAGGUGCGAAAGCGUGGGGAGCAAACAGGAUU
RNAcentral lists this ribosomal RNA (254 nucleotides) under uncultured bacterium. Its description in RNAcentral is "partial 16S ribosomal RNA". It matches the Rfam family "Bacterial small subunit ribosomal RNA", at positions 526 to 779 of the family's 1533-position model. The record is from RNAcentral.